Molecule: ribosomal RNA, 301 nt
Filed under: uncultured bacterium
Lineage: Bacteria
Description: partial 16S ribosomal RNA
Rfam family: Bacterial small subunit ribosomal RNA
Source: RNAcentral
CAGUCGCCACGGUAAUACGUAGGUGGCAAGCGUUGUCCGGAAUUAUUGGGCGUAAAGCGCGCGCAGGUGGUUUAAUAAGUCUGAUGUGAAAGCCCACGACUCAACCGUGGAGGGUCAUUGGAAACUGUUAAACUUGAGUGCAGGAGAGAAAAGUGGAAUUCCUAGUGUAGCGGUGAAAUGCGUAGAGAUUAGGAGGAACACCAGUGGCGAAGGCGGCUUUUUGGCCUGUAACUGACACUGAGGCGCGAAAGCGUGGGGAGCAAACAGGAUUAGAUACCCCUGUAGUCCCUGUCUCUUAUAC